UGCCCCGUGGCUCAGUUGGUUAGAGCGUGUGACUGUUAUGUUGCCAUCACAAGGUCGAGAGUUCGAGCCUCUCCGGGGCAG
RNAcentral lists this transfer RNA (81 nucleotides) under Thelephora ganbajun. RNAcentral's name for it is "tRNA-Asn". It matches the Rfam family "tRNA". Rfam says of the family: Transfer RNA (tRNA) molecules are approximately 80 nucleotides in length. Their secondary structure includes four short double-helical elements and three loops (D, anti-codon, and T loops). Lineage: Eukaryota; Fungi; Basidiomycota; Agaricomycetes; Thelephorales; Thelephoraceae. The record is from RNAcentral.